Molecule: long non-coding RNA, 2273 nt
Organism: Cynoglossus semilaevis (tongue sole)
Lineage: Eukaryota; Metazoa; Chordata; Actinopteri; Pleuronectiformes; Cynoglossidae
Exons: 2
Source: RefSeq, a predicted model, not a curated record
CACACAGACAUGAAAUCACUUUAAAACAUUAAAGGUGACAGUUCAAACCCUUCACUGAGGCAUUAACAUUUCCAACAUUCUUUGAAAGACGGCACUAAACUAAGGAAGUGACACCAGAUAAGCAUCUACUAAGCCUCUCACAACCUCAUCCUGGUUUUUAAUGUGAUUCAGUCGUCACAAACGGUGGACCGAGUGUUGACUUUCUCUGGAAAUUCAAGGACACUCGUCUUCAAUGGGAGUUCCACACCCGAAGAUGGAGUAUCUGGGCCCACACAAAGUAGCAUUCACACUGCUUAUCUCUACACAUCCACAGUUGAAGUCUAGAUGGUUCUUUACAUUGUAUCUUUCUGCAGGUGGUAAAGAUUAAUUAAACAGACACUUGGUCCUCCUCUGCUGCAUCAGUGCAUCCCAUUGAACAUUUGGCCUAAUUUCUUGCUCAUUUUUGUUGUCAAAGAUUAACUUCUAUACUUGUAUUUUCAUAUUUGCAGUCCAAUUAGGAAGAACACAUGCUUCAAAUUAAAAGACACAAAAACAUGUUCUGUCUAAACCACCACAUCAUCAGACUUUCCUUAGAUUUCAUAACAAAACACUGGGUUCUUAACUUCUAUUAGAGCCAUUUACUGGCUCCCAUAAUGUCUUAACCCGAGCAGCAGUAAAACCACUCUUUAAAGUGAACCAGGAACAUCCGCCAGGUUGGUAUAUUUUUUAAACAAACACCCCAACACUGCACAUUAAAACCGAUUCUGUGUGUUUCUUUAGCUGUGUAUUAACAUAUUCACUGCACACUACAGCAAUAACAGACUUCCUCUGAAUCUGUUGCAGCCGCAGACUAACUCUCCUCAGGACUUAAUUUAAAAUAAUUAAUUUCGCAGAACAGGAACGUCAGAUUCUGCCAUGGUAUUAAUGAACAAGCUGCAUAAAUGUUGGCUUGAUCAACAGAUCACCGGUAAACACUGAAUAACAACUAUAAGCUUCAGAUUAAGGAAGCCGUGAUCGAAAGGAAAAAUCACAAUCACAGCAACAAAUGAACAUUUCCGCUUAAACCCAAAGCCCACAACAAACCACUGCUCCCUGCUAAGCUAAGGCUAGCUAGCUAGCCAGGAGGGCAACUCACUCCUUAGCUCAGUAAGUGAGGGCAUUUUUUCCCCACAACAUGCCUUUCAAUAAACACAUUUAACGCUUGUGUGGGGGAAGAAAAUGUGCAAAAACAAUACAAUACCAGAACUUGGAGUCGACGAAUCACACUGUCAAUGCUUCUUGGUGGACUGAUAAGCGAGAAUAACGAAACAAACUGCCAAAACAAGACCAGCAUCAACGUCACACGCACAAUGGCUUUGGCAGCGUAGGCCCGUGGUCUUCUGGGAAAUGUGGUCCUACCCUCGUUCCCAGCCGACCACAGUUUUUGGAUCCGCGGUUUACAAAACAGUAAGAGUUCCGUUAGGGGGUUUGUGAAUUUCAUGACUUCGAUGAUGGAUGUUUGACUAUCAAAGAUGAACGUAUUUAAAGACACUUGGAACUAAUGUCUUUUAUAAACAAUACUACUAUGAUCUGAUACUUCACUACUCAGUUUCAAAGUAAAAAAAGGGGGUUAUAUAUAUACAACAUGUAUUUGAAUGUAUGGGUGAUGUAUUCAUCUGCUGUUACGCUGAUCUAUUUUUAUUUUCCAUGUUUUUCUAAUCCUAGAAGAUAACCUUUAAACCAGUAGGUGGCAGUAUUAAGAUGUACCAUAGGUGCCCCUCGAACGUGACUCCCUUGUGCUGUCAGAUGACGAUAUUUCCUGCUUGGACAAGAUUUAGAACAUACAUUUACUAUAGUUAUUUGAUGACUAAACACAAAUUCAAUUUUUUAUUUGAUUUUCUUUUUACUCCAAUAACAACAUGUAAAACCUCAGUUGAAACACAAUCGCACACAGACAGACACAUAAAAACAUACUCCUGGACCUCGGCAUGUAUUUUCAACGUAGUUUUCUUUAAUAUAAUCUUAUUUACACUGUAUUUUUCCAUAAAUGUUUACUACAUAGUAAGAUACAAUACUCUUGCAUCCAUUACACAAUGAACUCAGAACCUAAAAAAGGCAGAUUGAAAUACUGCUGAACAGCUUUCGAUCUACAACCAAUCUCAAGGUUUUUCCAUAUCACUUACUUUAAAAUGUAGUUUGUAUUUUAUUCACUUUUGUAGGGAAUUACUGACUUAAGAGACUUUGUUCAUUCAGGGUGGUCGUGAGGAGGAGGAUGGAGGGUUAAAGAUUAGUCUAUGGAGCAAUGGAAAAAAAAA